Non-coding RNA from Glycine soja, 194 nucleotides. The record is from Rfam. Lineage: Eukaryota; Viridiplantae; Streptophyta; Magnoliopsida; Fabales; Fabaceae.
AAGAGAGUGAAGGAGCUUCCUUCAGCCCAUUCAAGGGAUUAAAGGGUUGCUGGAGUAUCUGCUGACUCAUUCAUACACACACAGUACGUAGUGCUUUCAAAUUGCUAGUGUAAUUGUGUGAAUGAAGCAGGUGAUAUUUUGCACCCCUCUUUUCUCUGUGCUUGGACUGAAGGGGAGCUCCUUCUUUCUGUUGC